This 221-nucleotide ribosomal RNA is filed under the name uncultured bacterium. Its description in RNAcentral is "partial 16S ribosomal RNA". It matches the Rfam family "Bacterial small subunit ribosomal RNA", at positions 113 to 334 of the family's 1533-position model. The record is from RNAcentral.
CGACGUGGGUAACCUGCCCUAUACAUAUGGAUAACAUACUGAAAAGUUUACUAAUACAUGAUAAUAUAUAUUUACGGCAUCGUAGAUAUAUCAAAGUGUUAGCGGUAUAGGAUGGACCCGCGUCUGAUUAGCUAGUUGGUGAGAUAACUGCCCACCAAGGCGACGAUCAGUAGCCGACCUGAGAGGGUGAUCGGCCACAUUGGAACUGAGACACGGUCCAA